UGCUUAACACAUGCAAGUCGAACGGAAAGGCCCUGCUUUUGUGGGGUGCUCGAGUGGCGAACGGGUGAGUAACACGUGAGUAACCUGCCCUUGACUUUGGGAUAACUUCAGGAAACUGGGGCUAAUACCGGAUAGGAGCUCCUGCUGCAUGGUGGGGGUUGGAAAGUUUCGGCGGUUGGGGAUGGACUCGCGGCUUAUCAGCUUGUUGGUGGGGUAGUGGCUUACCAAGGCUUUGACGGGUAGCCGGCCUGAGAGGGUGACCGGCCACAUUGGGACUGAGAUACGGCCCAGACUCCUACGGGAGGCAGCAGUGGGGAAUAUUGCACAAUGGGCGGAAGCCUGAUGCAGCAACGCCGCGUGCGGGAUGACGGCCUUCGGGUUGUAAACCGCUUUCGCCUGUGACGAAGCGUGAGUGACGGUAAUGGGUAAAGAAGCACCGGCUAACUACGUGCCAGCAGCCGCGGUGAUACGUAGGGUGCGAGCGUUGUCCGGAUUUAUUGGGCGUAAAGGGCUCGUAGGUGGUUGAUCGCGUCGGAAGUGUAAUCUUGGGGCUUAACCCUGAGCGUGCUUUCGAUACGGGUUGACUUGAGGAAGGUAGGGGAGAAUGGAAUUCCUGGUGGAGCGGUGGAAUGCGCAGAUAUCAGGAGGAACACCAGUGGCGAAGGCGGUUCUCUGGGCCUUUCCUGACGCUGAGGAGCGAAAGCGUGGGGAGCGAACAGGCUUAGAUACCCUGGUAGUCCACGCUGUAAACGGUGGGUACUAGGUGUGGGGUCCAUUCCACGGGUUCCGUGCCGUAGCUAACGCUUUAAGUACCCCGCCUGGGGAGUACGGCCGCAAGGCUAAAACUCAAAGGAAUUGACGGGGCCCCGCACAAGCGGCGGAGCAUGCGGAUUAAUUCGAUGCAACGCGUAGAACCUUACCUGGGUUUGACAUGGAUCGGGAGUGCUCAGAGAUGGGUGUGCCUCUUUUGGGGUCGGUUCACAGGUGGUGCAUGGCUGUCGUCAGCUCGUGUCGUGAGAUGUUGGGUUAAGUCCCGCAACGAGCGCAACCCUUGUUCACUGUUGCCAGCACGUUAUGGUGGGGACUCAGUGGAGACCGCCGGGGUCAACUCGGAGGAAGGUGGGGAUGACGUCAAGUCAUCAUGCCCCUUAUGUCCAGGGCUUCACGCAUGCUACAAUGGCUGGUACAGAGAGUGGCGAGCCUGUGAGGGUGAGCGAAUCUCGGAAAGCCGGUCUCAGUUCGGAUUGGGGUCUGCAACUCGACCUCAUGAAGUCGGAGUCGCUAGUAAUCGCAGAUCAGCAACGCUGCGGUGAAUACGUUCCCGGGGCUUGUACACACCGCCCGUCAAGUCAUGAAAGUUGGUAACACCCGAAGCCGGUGGCCUAACCGUUGUGGGGGAGCCGUCGAAGGUGGGACUGGUGAUUAGGACUAGGUCAUAAC
This 1440-nucleotide ribosomal RNA is filed under the name uncultured organism. Its description in RNAcentral is "16S ribosomal RNA". It matches the Rfam family "Bacterial small subunit ribosomal RNA". The record is from RNAcentral.